UACGGAGGGGACUAGCGUUGUUCGGAAUUACUGGGCGUAAAGCGCACGUAGGCGGAUUUGUUAGUCAGGGGUGAAAUCCCGAGGCUCAACCUCGGAACUGCCUUUGAUACUGCAAAUCUCGAGUCCGGAAGAGGUGAGUGGAAUUCCUAGUGUAGAGGUGAAAUUCGUAGAUAUCGGGAGGAACACCUGCGGUGUAGACGGCUUACUGGACCGUGACUGACGCUGAGGCACGAAAGCGUGGGUAGCAAACAGG
RNAcentral lists this ribosomal RNA (253 nucleotides) under uncultured bacterium. Its description in RNAcentral is "partial 16S ribosomal RNA". It matches the Rfam family "Bacterial small subunit ribosomal RNA", at positions 524 to 776 of the family's 1533-position model. The record is from RNAcentral.